Molecule: ribosomal RNA, 373 nt
Filed under: uncultured bacterium
Lineage: Bacteria
Description: bacterial SSU rRNA
Rfam family: Bacterial small subunit ribosomal RNA
Source: RNAcentral
AUUGAACGCUGGCGGCAGGCCUAACACAUGCAAGUCGAGCGGGGUUUUCGGACCUAGCGGCGGACGGGUGAGUAAUGCGUAGGAAGCUACCCGAUAGAGGGGGAUACCAGUUGGAAACGACUGUUAAUACCGCAUAAUGUCUACGGACCAAAGUGUGGGACCUUCGGGCCACAUGCUAUCGGAUGCGCCUACGUGGGAUUAGCUAGUUGGUGAGGUAAUGGCUCACCAAGGCGACGAUCUCUAGCUGGUUUGAGAGGAUGAUCAGCCACACUGGAACUGAGACACGGUCCAGACUCCUACGGAGGCAGCAGUGGGGAAUAUUGGACAAUGGGCGCAAGCCUGAUCCAGCCAUGCCGCGUGUGUGAAGAAGGCC